AUGAAGGCCUUCGGGUUGUAAACUGCUUUGUACGGAACGAAACGGCUCCUUUUAAUACGAGGGGCUAAUGACGGUACCGUAAGAAUAAGCACCGGCUAACUACGUGC
RNAcentral lists this ribosomal RNA (107 nucleotides) under uncultured bacterium. RNAcentral's name for it is "partial 16S ribosomal RNA". The record is from RNAcentral.